Long non-coding RNA from Lethenteron reissneri (Far Eastern brook lamprey), 1229 nucleotides. RefSeq lists it as uncharacterized. The record is from RefSeq and is a predicted model, not a curated record. NCBI's taxonomy places the organism in Eukaryota, Metazoa, Chordata, Hyperoartia, Petromyzontiformes, Petromyzontidae.
AGAGAGAAGGGAGAGGAGAGUGAGUGUAGUCUCCCACGGCCUCGCGAGGUGCAGACGACACCACAGGCGCUGUCACGUUUUGGCGGGAGACACAGAGAGACAGAGAGUGACAGAGAUACACCAGUAAAUACAGAGAGACACAGAGUGACAGAGAGACACCAGGAGACACAGAGAGACACCGGCAGAUACAGAGAGACACCGGCAGACACAGAGAGACACAUAGAGACACAGAGAGACAGAGAUACACUGGGAGACAGAGAGAGAGAGACAGAGAGACACCGAAAGACAGAGAGAAACAGAUAGACAGAGACACCGGGAGACACUGGGAGACACAGGGAGACACAGGGAGACAGAGACACAGGGAGACACAGGGAGACACAGAGAGACACAGAGAGACCGGGAGACACAGAGACACACAGAGAGACACACAGAGACACCGGGAGACACAGAGAGACACAGAGACAGAGAGAGACAGAUAGACAGAGACACCGGCAGACACAGAGAGACAGAGAGAGAGACAGAGAGACACAGAGACACAGAGAGAGACAGACAGACACAGAGAGACACCGGGAGACAGAGGGAGACACAGACAACAUAGAGACACAGAGGGAGACACAGACACACACAGAGAGACAGAGAGAGACAUCCGCACCAUGAGUGCGCGAUGCUUUUCUCAACGUCCCCAGGUGAGGAGGAGGAGGAGGCGGCGAGCGUCGCCUUUGGAGUUGAGGGACCAGAGUCGGCAUCGCCUCGAGCCCCUCACCACUGAGCCCCCCACCACUGAGCCCCCCACCACUGAGCCCCCCACCACUUGACGGGGCCGCCGCUUCUGCCAAAGUGAUUGUGGCCACGUCGACGAUCGAGAUGAAGACGAUGAAGACGACGAGGAGGCGGAGUGGAGGACUAAAACCGAAUAUUGGCGCUCAUCAGCACCGGCAGCCUGGAUAGCGUCAUGCCGAUGAGAACAUGAAGAUGGGAAGGGAACCAUCCGGACUGCCCCCCCCCCCCUCCCAUUCACCUGCAACCUCAGCUGCCACGGUGGCCGUGAAGACUCCCACGUGACGCAGAUGCUGCUACUGCUGAUGAUUAAUAAGUGGAUGAUGCUGAGGACGAGGAGGAGAACGAGGAGGAGGACGAGGGGGCCGGGAGUGGGGGGCUGGAAGGUCGAGGGGACUCGGUCCCGCUCCGCUGCUCGCGUUGCCGUGGUGACGAGGAGAGCGAGGAGUUUG